This 496-nucleotide ribosomal RNA is filed under the name uncultured bacterium. RNAcentral's name for it is "partial 16S ribosomal RNA". It matches the Rfam family "Bacterial small subunit ribosomal RNA", at positions 28 to 506 of the family's 1533-position model. The record is from RNAcentral.
GAUGAACGCUGGCGGCGUGCCUAAUACAUGCAAGUCGAGCGAACGGACGAGAAGCUUGCUUCUCUGAUGUUAGCGGCGGACGGGUGAGUAACACGUGGAUAACCUACCUAUAAGACUGGGAUAACUUCGGGAAACCGGAGCUAAUACCGGAUAAUAUUUUGAACCGCAUGGUUCAAAAGUGAAAGACGGUCUUGCUGUCACUUAUAGAUGGAUCCGCGCUGCAUUAGCUAGUUGGUAAGGUAACGGCUUACCAAGGCAACGAUGCAUAGCCGACCUGAGAGGGUGAUCGGCCACACUGGAACUGAGACACGGUCCAGACUCCUACGGGAGGCAGCAGUAGGGAAUCUUCCGCAAUGGGCGAAAGCCUGACGGAGCGACGCCGCGUGAGUGAUGAAGGUCUACGGGUCGUAAAACUCUGUUAUUAGGGAAGAACAUAUGUGUAAGUAACUGUACACAUCUUGACGGUACCUAAUCAGAAAGCCACGGCUAACUACGU